RNAcentral lists this unclassified non-coding RNA (1742 nucleotides) under Hevea brasiliensis (rubber tree). Lineage: Eukaryota; Viridiplantae; Streptophyta; Magnoliopsida; Malpighiales; Euphorbiaceae. The record is from RNAcentral.
AACAAAUUUAGCAGCGUAGAGAGUGAAGUGGAAAAUACCGCAAGAAACCAAACAUAGCAGAGACAGUGAGUGGAAGCCAAAGAAUAAGAGGGGGAGAAAAGAAAUGACGACGGAGGGAGAGGUGGUUUGCGUCACCGGAGGAAGCGGUUGCAUCGGUUCUUGGUUGGUACGUCUCCUUCUCGAACGCGGCUACACCGUUCACGCCACCGUCAAAAAUCUCAAGGAUGAGAAAGAAACGAAGCAUCUACAAGCCAUGGAAGGAGCAGACUUGCGUCUUCGUCUUUACCAAAUCGACCUCCUUGUCUAUGACUCCAUUCUCGCCGCUAUCGACGGCUGUGCAGGCGUAUUCCACCUGGCCUCUCCCUGCAUCGUUGAUAAAGUCCAAGAUCCUCAAAAGGAGCUUCUGGAUCCAGCAAUUAAAGGGACCCAGAAUGUACUUAUGGCGGCCAAGGAGAAAGGGGUGGGGCGCGUGGUGGUCACGUCAUCCAUAUCUGCUAUAACGCCGAGCCCUCAGUGGCCAGCAGACGUUGUCAAGGCAGAGGAUUGCUGGACAGAUAUUGACUACUGCAAGCAAAAUGAAUUAUGGUAUCCACUGUCCAAAACACUGGCUGAGAAAGUUGCAUGGGAAUUUUCCAAGGAGAAAGGUUUGGAUGUGGUGGUGGUAAACCCUGGUACGGUGAUGGGCCCUGUUAUCCCACCAACCCUGAAUGCAAGCAUGUUGAUACUUGUGCGCCUUUUACAAGGUUGCACAGAGACAUACGAGAAUUUCUUUAUGGGAUCUGUUCAUUUUAAAGAUGUAGCCUUGGCACAUAUCAUGGUGUAUGAAAACCCAUCAGCAUCUGGUAGGUAUUUAUGUGUUGAAGCCAUAUCUCAUUAUGGCGACUUUGUGGCCAAGGUUGCAGAGCUAUAUCCCGAAUAUAAGAUUCCCAGGUAACAAGUUUGACAAACCAUGUGCAUCUGUUAUGCCUUGGCAAUGUACCAAACUCUGCUAUGUUAUGAAAUCAAAUAUCUUGCCAAAAUGAUCUAUACCGUUUUAGCUAAGUAAGGAAUAUAGUUAACUAAACAAUUCCUUUUCUGCUAGCUUUAUCUCUUCAAAAAACCUUUGAAUCAACUUUCCAGUUUACUUAAAGUUUCUUGGCCUAGUGCAAGGAUCAGCAAAAUUAUUUGGUCAAACUGUUUAUUGUCAUAGAGAGCUUUCUUAUGCGUGAGCAUGGUGCUACAUUAGUUGCUGUUUUGUGAGUUAAAGAUUGGUACAUUGUCACCUCUGUGAAAUUCUGGGAAUUCAGUAGUCUGGAUGAUGAUAUGAAUAACAAAGGACCCUUCAUGUGUCACUUGUUGCAGUUUGCCAAAGGAUACCCAGCCUGGGCUGUUGAGGGCUAAGGAUGGGGCUAAGAAACUGAUGGACUUGGGCUUAGAAUUUAUUCCCAUGGAGCAAAUUAUCAAGGAUGCAGUUGAGAGUCUAAAAAGCAAGGGAUUGAUUCCUUAAUUGAAGCUUUAGGUGCCCAUAUAUGAUCUAGAGCUGAUGAUUAGCGAGGAAUUGUGUGAAUGGAAUAACUGGAGUCCAUGCGUGUGGAUGUUGUGCCCGAUAGAAGUACUUCCUAGGUUACUUUGGUAAAAGCGUAAUGUAAUGCAAGGCAAUGAUGUAAUCAAAGUUAUAAUGUAAUAGUAUAAUGUAAUGUAAUGUAAUUGUAAAUACAUUCUUAUGUUUAAUUACAAAAUAAAAUAUAAGUGGUGUAAUUUAA